AACUCUAAUUUCCCAAUCCCCCCCCCCCAAUCUCUCUCUCUCUCUCUCUCUCUCUCUCGUAAACGCUUUGGUCUUUCAUUUUAACACUACCCUUGAAUCUUUUCCUUCGUUAUUUUUCUUGGUUGCCAUGGCAGAUAAACAACCUCACUUGAAUGGAGCUAGAGUGAACGCAAAUAAAUGGGCAUUAGAGGUAGAACUGAGGUGCAAUUCGAUCCCGUAGUAGAGUGCCUCAUCAGCAAGCUCUUGCAUGAAGAAUCUGCGAGAUGUGAAGAGAGACGAUUUGAUAUGAGAAGGGGGACUAAGAAGAUCUAGGGAUCCCGAUCUAAAAACCAAUUCCCUUUUCUCUCGUAACUCUCUCUCUCACACUUCGAUAUCUCUCUCUCUCUCUCGAACUCGAUUUGUGAGUAAUGCCUUUGGACAAAUCUUAUGUGGGUGUGAAGUAUAUGAUGUUAUUUUGCUAGAUCUAGGUUUUUUUUUGUUAUUUUGUUAAGCAUGGGUUUUUUUUUUUUUUGAGGGUUUACAUUUUUUUUUCUUCUAUUUCUCAUGAUUUGUUGUUAAUAGCCAUAGCAAUGAAUGGUCAUAGACUUGCUCUUUGUUUGGCCCAAAAUAGUAACUCUCUCUUGCAAUCUUGAUCUGGUAGCAAUGCCUUUGAACAAAUCUUAUGUGGGUAUGUAUAUUCUAUUAUUUAGAUAGAUUUGGAUAUCUUUUGUUACUUUGUUAAAUACGAGUAUAAUGUAUAUGCUGUUAUUUGAGCAAAACCCAAAUGAUAGAAAUUGGUAAUCUCUUUUGAGUAUUUGGUAUUUAAUGUUUGUGAAUCACUGUCUGGUGUUGGUUUUCUGAUUUCGAGGAUUGAAGGGUUUGAUUGGUUUGUGGUCUCAUUCUCUAUUGCAUGUGUUUCUAUUUUUAUUGUUGUUGCUUCAUAUUGUUUGUUUGCUUGUUUGACGUUUGAAAGAGUUGAGAUUGGAGAAAAUAUGAAGAAUGAUGAAGAGCUCUGGAUCACCUACCCUACCCUACCUCCAUUAGAAGAGCCUAAACCCCAUAUGCCUUCCCACUUCUCAAAUGGAUUAUGCUUGGAUUACAAAAUUUAUGAUUCAUCUGUUAGGACAAAGACCAAGUUAACAUCGAUGAAUAUAGGAUUAUAGCAAUGUCAGGAGAGGACUUUUUAAUUAUAUGGGCCUUCAAUCCCCUGUUACAUUAAGUUCUACGAGUUUUGAUGGUUAGAAGUGCUUGACAUUGUCUGGAUUUUAGAGAGAGGAGGGGGGGGGGGGGCUACAGGCAACAGGGGUAGGGCUAGGGAUAGGGAGAGAGAGAGAGAGAGAAUUUGGAAUCAUGUUGGUUGUUUAAUGUGUCAGUUUAAUUGUUGGUCCCAUUUGAAUAAAUAUCUAUUUCACUAAUUAAUUAUAUAAAGUUUGAUAUUUAAGAAUUCUUUUGUUGUUGAGAAGUUAGGUUUCACAUGUCUAUCUCUAAUGCCUUGAACAUGCAGUUGUUUAAUUAUAUUGCUUUGGUUUCAUUUCUCAAAACUUUUUUAGAAUUGCUUCUGACCACUUUGCAGAGGGUUUAGGAAUUGUUAACAUGUUAUGGAUGCUUGUUACCUAUAAAAAAAACUUGUUAUGGAUGCUCUUUGCCUCCUUUUUAUGCUACUAAUAUUCUUUUAAUUUUCUCUUUGCUUCCAUAUAUAUGUAAUGGUAGAGCCCAAGAGGUGGAGAACAAUGAGAUGCACAUUCCUUUAUAUGGGUUGAUAUCAUUCUACUUGCUUUCAGAUUUACUGAUUUUGUAAUUCAUAUAUUGUAAUUUAGUAUUUGGUAAUGCAAUGUAUAAAUAACAAAUAAUAUAAUAUGUAGUGGAUUGUAUUAUGAUGCAUGCAUACUUGCAUGGAUGAA
This is a long non-coding RNA of Carya illinoinensis, 1880 nucleotides long. RefSeq lists it as uncharacterized. Lineage: Eukaryota; Viridiplantae; Streptophyta; Magnoliopsida; Fagales; Juglandaceae. The record is from RefSeq and is a predicted model, not a curated record. The transcript has 2 exons.